Long non-coding RNA from Emys orbicularis (European pond turtle), 1545 nucleotides. RefSeq lists it as uncharacterized. The transcript has 8 exons. NCBI's taxonomy places the organism in Eukaryota, Metazoa, Chordata, Testudines, Emydidae. The record is from RefSeq and is a predicted model, not a curated record.
AUUGCCAGUUCACUGGUACGCCCCGUGCAUGCAUGAAAAUAAAGAGGCCUCAGGCGAUUCUGAUCCAAACACAACGCAUGGUCGUUUUUCCACAACAAUCUUGGUGCUGUGACUCGGAUCCACAGACUGUCCACCGGACCAGGAGACCGCGGACCAUUCCCCUCCGAACCCAGCCGGCAUUUGAUAGGUGGAGGAAAUGUAACUGAUGAAAUCUUCAUCUCGAAAGAGCACAAGAAGUUGCUUUAGUGAAUAAAGCAAUAAAAAUGGGAGCUACUUGUUCAGAUGUGAAAUGAAGGUCUUCCAAAUAAAGGGAGGAUGAUAAGAGGCUGCUGAAUUUACGAAAAAAAGUCAGCCAGGUUUUUCUAAUAUGAGAUAUGAACAGACCAGGUGGUCAUUCCUACCAGGGAGAAGUGAGGGGAGAAGAACUGUGGUGGACCUCACUUGUCAUGGGGAGAGUAUGAAAAGCAGACGCAAGACAAAGCAACAUGGACUUGCCAGCUGCUCAAUCCAUUGAGGACUCCAAUGACAAGAUGCUGUUAUUUCAAGGAAAAAGAAAACAAAAAAACCUUCAAAUAGUUCAGCUAGUAACAAAUCUGAAUCUGAAGCAAGUCAAGAGAACAUCACAGACAUGGAGAUGAGAGAAAUGCAGCUGAUUUGAAUGUUGAGGGUGUGAAAACUUCGGGAAGUUCCUAGAAGAUCUGUGAUAUCUACAGAAAGGAAACAAGCUAAACUCAGCACUGCUGCCAUGAGGUAAGGAACUCCCCUCCUAAUGGAGAAAUUGAUGGAUCUGGUUUCCCUUCAGGAGAAAGAAAUGCAGCUGAUCUGAUCUCCUAGGGAUUGAGGACUAUAAGCAGUCAGAUGCCUUAACAAAGGAACACAUGUUGCCAGAUCUGCAGAGAAAAAAAAAGUUGCCUUCCUUGACUAGAAUGGGAAGACAAUCACUUCUCAAGUUUCAAACCCACAAUGCAGCAGCCCAUCAUUGACAAGGAGGAGAAGAGUUCCAGAGGCUCAGUGCUGGAGUACAAGGGAAUAGGAAUGGAGCUGAACAGAUCCAACACCUGAAAGGACAAUUGGAUCUCAAAAUAUGAAACCAUGAAAAAGACCCUUCAUUCAAUAAAGCAACAGAAUUGGCGCUAAGGAGAGAUGAAGGAAACACAGCCAGCAUGGCCAGUAUUCAUGAAACAAUGUUCAAAAGUUGCCUGGGGUCACCUCUUGGGCUAAGGGGAGCAGCUGGUCCCAUCUGCUGGGAUGGAAGCAAAGAAGAAACCACUGGAGGCUGGUUAGUCCUGGGACACAGACAAUACCCUGGAGGGGCCUGGGGUAGCGUGUGUAACCAUAGUGACCAGUGGGUCCUUUCCCCACUGUGGUCCUGGCUCGCAUGCACAGGGUGAAACUGAUCGCCAUGUUUGGGGUCAGGAAGGAAUUUUCCUCCAGGGCAGAUUGGCCAGAGACCCUGGAGGUUUUUCGCCUUCCUCUGGGGCAUUGAGCAGGGACCAGCCCUUUGGGCCAUUUAGAAACAGACAAUAAAAUCCAUCAGAGAACUUG